RNAcentral lists this ribosomal RNA (253 nucleotides) under uncultured bacterium. Its description in RNAcentral is "partial 16S ribosomal RNA". It matches the Rfam family "Bacterial small subunit ribosomal RNA", at positions 524 to 776 of the family's 1533-position model. The record is from RNAcentral.
UACGUAGGGGGCAAGCGUUGUCCGGAUUUAUUGGGCGUAAAGAGCGUGUAGGCGGCCAUGUAGGUCCGUUGUGAAAACUCGAGGCUCAACCUCGAGACGCCGAUGGAAACCAUGUGGCUAGAGUCCGGAAGAGGAGAGUGGAAUUCCUGGUGUAGCGGUGAAAUGCGCAGAUAUCAGGAAGAACACCCGUGGCUAAGGCGGCUCUCUAGUACGGUACUGACGCUGAGACGCGAAAGCGUGGGGAGCGAUCCGG